Molecule: ribosomal RNA, 814 nt
Filed under: uncultured Bacteroidota bacterium
Lineage: Bacteria; Pseudomonadati; Bacteroidota
Description: bacterial SSU rRNA
Rfam family: Bacterial small subunit ribosomal RNA
Source: RNAcentral
ACGGUAUACUACUUUAGGGUAGAUGAGAGUGGGGCACGGGUCCCUUACGCGUAUAGCACCUACCUUGAACAGGGGGAUAGACCGGAUAAAUCUCUGAUUAAUACCCCUUAGUCUUACCAAGAAGGCAUCCGAAGGUAAUUAAAGAUUUAUCGGAUACUAGAGUGGUCAUGCGUGACAUUACCUAAUUGGGACGGUAACGGACUACCAAGCACUAUGAUGUCUUAGGGGUUCUGAGAAGAUGAUCCCCCACACUGGUACUGAGAAUACUUGACCAAACUCCUACAGGAGGAAGCAGUCAGGAAUAUUGAACGAUGGGCGACAGCCUGAACCAACCAUGCCUCGUGCAGGAAGACAGUCUUCUGGCCUGAAAACUGCUUUUCUACUGAAAUAAAACACCCUUGCGAGGGAGAUUGACGGUACCUAAUGAAUAACCACCCUCUAACUCCGUGCUAGCACCCGCGGUAAUACUGAGGGCGCAAGCGUUGUCCGGAUUUAUUGCCUCUAAAGGGCGCUUAAGACUGCCUUUCAUUCAAUGGUGAAAGCCUGCCGCUUAACUGUAUAACUGCCAUUGAUACUGAAAGCCUCGAGUGUACUACAGGUACGCAGAAUUUAUGGUGUACCGAUGAUGUGCCUAAAUACCAUAAAGAACACCGAUAGCGUAGACUGCUUACUCUAGUACAACUGACCCUGAAGCACGAGAGCUUGGUGAGCGAACAGGAUUAUAUACCCUGCUAAUCCAUGCCGUAAACGAUUAUUACUGGAUGUUACCGAUACACUGUCAGCGUCCAAACAAAAUCACUAAGUAAUCCACCUG